Molecule: ribosomal RNA, 426 nt
Filed under: uncultured Bacteroides sp.
Lineage: Bacteria; Pseudomonadati; Bacteroidota; Bacteroidia; Bacteroidales; Bacteroidaceae
Description: bacterial SSU rRNA
Rfam family: Bacterial small subunit ribosomal RNA
Source: RNAcentral
UGAGGAAUAUUGGUCAAUGGGCGGUAGCCUGAACCAGCCAAGUAGCGUGAAGGAUGAAGGUUCUAUGGAUUGUAAACUUCUUUUAUAAAGGAAUAAAGUGAGGCACGUGUGCCUUUUGUAUGUACUUUAUGAAUAAGGAUCGGCUAACUCCGUGCCAGCAGCCGCGGUAAUACGGAGGAUCCGAGCGUUAUCCGGAUUUAUUGGGUUUAAAGGGAGCGUAGGCGGACGCUUAAGUCAGUUGUGAAAGUUUGCGGCUCAACCGUAAAAUUGCAGUUGAUACUGGGUGUCUUGAGUACAGUAGAGGCAGGCGGAAUUCGUGGUGUAGCGGUGAAAUGCUUUUAGAUAUCACGAAGAACUCCGAUUGCGAAGGCAGCCUGCUGGACUGUAACUGACGCUGAUGCUCGAAAAAGUGUGGGUAUCAAAACA